This 1441-nucleotide ribosomal RNA is filed under the name uncultured organism. Its description in RNAcentral is "partial small subunit ribosomal RNA". It matches the Rfam family "Bacterial small subunit ribosomal RNA". The record is from RNAcentral.
ACGCUGGCGGCGUGCUUAACACAUGCAAGUCGAACGGAAAGGCCCUGCUUUUGUGGGGUGCUCGAGUGGCGAACGGGUGAGUAACACGUGAGUAACCUGCCCUUGACUUUGGGAUAACUUCAGGAAACUGGGGCUAAUACCGGAUAGGAGCUCCUGCUGCAUGGUGGGGGUUGGAAAGUUUCGGCGGUUGGGGAUGGACUCGCGGCUUAUCAGCUUGUUGGUGGGGUAGUGGCUUACCAAGGCUUUGACGGGUAGCCGGCCUGAGAGGGUGACCGGCCACAUUGGGACUGAGAUACGGCCCAGACUCCUACGGGAGGCAGCAGUGGGGAAUAUUGCACAAUGGGCGGAAGCCUGAUGCAGCAACGCCGCGUGCGGGAUGACGGCCUUCGGGUUGUAAACCGCUUUCGCCUGUGACGAAGCGUGAGUGACGGUAAUGGGUAAAGAAGCACCGGCUAACUACGUGCCAGCAGCCGCGGUGAUACGUAGGGUGCGAGCGUUGUCCGGAUUUAUUGGGCGUAAAGGGCUCGUAGGUGGUCGAUCGCGUCGGAAGUGUAAUCUUGGGGCUUAACCCUGAGCGUGCUUUCGAUACGGGUUGACUUGAGGAAGGUAGGGGAGAAUGGAAUUCCUGGUGGAGCGGUGGAAUGCGCAGAUAUCAGGAGGAACACCAGUGGCGAAGGCGGUUCUCUGGGCCUUUCCUGACGCUGAGGAGCGAAAGCGUGGGGAGCGAACAGGCUUAGAUACCCCUGGUAGUCCACGCUGUAAACGGUGGGUACUAGGUGUGGGGUCCAUUCCACGGGUUCCGUGCCGUAGCUAACGCUUUAAGUACCCCGCCUGGGGAGUACGGCCGCAAGGCUAAAACUCAAAGGAAUUGACGGGGCCCCGCACAAGCGGCGGAGCAUGCGGAUUAAUUCGAUGCAACGCGUAGAACCUUACCUGGGUUUGACAUGGAUCGGGAGUGCUCAGAGAUGGGUGUGCCUCUUUUGGGGUCGGUUCACAGGUGGUGCAUGGCUGUCGUCAGCUCGUGUCGUGAGAUGUUGGGUUAAGUCCCGCAACGAGCGCAACCCUUGUUCACUGUUGCCAGCACGUUAUGGUGGGGACUCAGUGGAGACCGCCGGGGUCAACUCGGAGGAAGGUGGGGAUGACGUCAAGUCAUCAUGCCCCUUAUGUCCAGGGCUUCACGCAUGCUACAAUGGCUGGUACAGAGAGUGGCGAGCCUGUGAGGGUGAGCGAAUCUCGGAAAGCCGGUCUCAGUUCGGAUUGGGGUCUGCAACUCGACCUCAUGAAGUCGGAGUCGCUAGUAAUCGCAGAUCAGCAACGCUGCGGUGAAUACGUUCCCGGGGCUUGUACACACCGCCCGUCAAGUCAUGAAAGUUGGUAACACCCGAAGCCGGUGGCCUAACCGUUGUGGGGGAGCCGUCGAAGGUGGGACUGGUGAUUAGGA